AGUGAACGCUGGCGGUAGGCCUAACACAUGCAAGUCGAACGGCAGCACAGUAAGAGCUUGCUCUUACGGGUGGCGAGUGGCGGACGGGUGAGGAAUACAUCGGAAUCUACUUUUUCGUGGGGGAUAACGUAGGGAAACUUACGCUAAUACCGCAUACGACCUACGGGUGAAAGCAGGGGAUCUUCGGACCUUGCGCGAUUGAAUGAGCCGAUGUCGGAUUAGCUAGUUGGCGGGGUAAAGGCCCACCAAGGCGACGAUGCGUAGCUGGUCUGAGAGGAUGAUCAGCCACACUGGAACUGAGACACGGUCCAGACUCCUACGGGAGGCAGCAGUGGGGAAUAUUGGACAAUGGGCGAAAGCCUGAUCCAGCAAUACCGCGUGGGUGAAGAAGGCCUUCGGGUUGUAAAGCCCUUUUGUUGGGAAAGAAAAGCAGCAGGUUAAUACCCCGCUGUUCUGACGGUACCCAAAGAAUAAGCACCGGCUAACUUCGUG
RNAcentral lists this ribosomal RNA (492 nucleotides) under uncultured bacterium. RNAcentral describes it as "partial 16S ribosomal RNA". It matches the Rfam family "Bacterial small subunit ribosomal RNA", at positions 29 to 507 of the family's 1533-position model. The record is from RNAcentral.